Molecule: transfer RNA, 69 nt
Filed under: Cavia porcellus (domestic guinea pig)
Lineage: Eukaryota; Metazoa; Chordata; Mammalia; Rodentia; Caviidae
Rfam family: tRNA
About the family: Transfer RNA (tRNA) molecules are approximately 80 nucleotides in length.
Source: Rfam by way of RNAcentral
GGGGAUGUAGCUCAGUGGUAAAGUGUGUGCUUGGUAUGCACAAGGCCUUGGGCUUGAUCCUCAUACCCA